ACACAUGCAAGUCGAGGGGCAGCAUCAUCAAAGCUUGCUUUGAUGGAUGGCGACCGGCGCACGGGUGAGUAACACGUAUCCAACCUGCCGACAACACUGGGAUAGCCUUUCGAAAGAAAGAUUAAUACCGGAUGGCAUAAUUAUUCCGCAUGGGAUAAUUAUUAAAGAAUUUCGGUUGUCGAUGGGGAUGCGUUCCAUUAGGCAGUUGGCGGGGUAACGGCCCACCAAACCUACGAUGGAUAGGGGUUCUGAGAGGAAGGUCCCCCACAUUGGAACUGAGACACGGUCCAAACUCCUACGGGAGGCAGCAGUGAGGAAUAUUGGUCAAUGGACGAGAGUCUGAACCAGCCAAGUAGCGUGAAGGAUGACUGCCCUAUGGGUUGUAAACUUCUUUUAUACGGGAAUAAAGUUAGCCACGUGUGGCUUUUUGUAUGUACCGUAUGAAUAAGGAUCGGCUAACUCCGUGCCAGCAGCCGCGGUAAUACGGAGGAUCCGAGCGUUAUCCGGAUUUAUUGGGUUUAAAGGGAGCGUAGGCGGGUUGUUAAGUCAGUUGUGAAAGUUUGCGGCUCAACCGUAAAAUUGCAGUUGAUACUGGCGACCUUGAGUGCAACAGAGGUAGGCGGAAUUCGUGGUGUAGCGGUGAAAUGCUUAGAUAUCACGAAGAACUCCGAUUGCGAAGGCAGCUUACUGGAUUGUAACUGACGC
This 705-nucleotide ribosomal RNA is filed under the name uncultured bacterium. RNAcentral's name for it is "bacterial SSU rRNA". It matches the Rfam family "Bacterial small subunit ribosomal RNA", at positions 51 to 746 of the family's 1533-position model. The record is from RNAcentral.